AUUCUAUGUAUUAAACCGUUCUAUGAUUUUGGAUCAUUGUGUAUAUAUAUACAUAUAUACCUACUCUUUACAAGGGCACAAUGCACAAGGAUGAAAGAGUCUAAUGCAAAAUGAAGGGGAAGACUGAUCCUUGACCAAUCACAGGAGAAUCACCCUUCACACCCGAGUACAUUAAAUAACAAUGAAAUUUGCGAUUCUUCGUUGAAUUGCACGUUUGAACGCGUUCGAUCGAUUAAUCUGCCAACGGGCGUCAUUAGUAAAAUCCAAUGACGGUUUGAGCAACAUUAAAAAGCUUCUGUGAAACGGGUUAGCCGUCGAUAUACCAGUGUACGCCCGACACGGACCAUUUUUUUACUCUGGCAUAUCAAGCACUCAAAAGCGAACGUACACGCCGAUGGAUAAAUCAAUAAACCAAUAGCUAUGGAUGGUCGAAUGGAAAAUCGUAAUCUGGGAAAUAACGGAUGAUACAAUAGAGUUCGAGCCUCUUCAGAAUGUUUCCUUUAAAACGCUAAGCUUCUCCCACGAUUCUUAACAUCCUCGCCUUCGGAUGUUUCCACAAGUAUCUGAUUGAUCAACGGUAGCAGGUACACUUGCACAUUGAAUCUCCCCUACGGCUGUUUGCGUUUAGGGAGCAGAGAUCAAGAUCAAAAUCGCGUCUGUAUCGAGUUACAAUGUUUGCCAACAUCUACGAUCGGCAACACCAAGGAAACAGCUGAUCGAAUCGCUUCUGAUCGGAUAACAGAGAUUAGGAUACAGGUAGUUGCUACAGGACAGUGUUGUGCCAUCAAUUGACUCAAUCAGGAAUUGUCUAUGUAUUCAGAGAAGUUCCGAAAAAUGGUGUCGAAUCGGAACCGCCAUAGAGAUGGAUGCAUUUGCAGGGAUGUCAAUCUCCUGCGUGUGCUGACCGGUCCUGGACUUAAGUCACCGUCUGAUUACUAAGGAACCAUGGACUCCACGUGCCAUUAAACAGAACCGCCACUUGCUUCUUAAUAAAGUUCCAUCAUAGAAUCUUUGAUGUUUAAGGGUAGCUAAUGAAACGUGAAGAAGGAAUAAAGAUACAUUUUGGCAGAACCACGCGAAUGGAGGUGUAUAGUUGAAGAGGGUGAAAUGGGCGUGGUUAGCAACCCUUGGUGAGACAGUGUCGACCAAUGCCCGUACCCUUGGCCGAUAUCGCAACUGUUGCAAACGCAAGCGCCGUCAGGGUUGUUCUUGUGAAACUCUGGUGAUAGGUUGAUGUGCAAGGCUGUUUAAUGUAACGGGCGCAGACUCGACUUAGGGGACACUGUUCCAAAAGGUUACGCCUCGAAUUCACAUUGGUUAUGCAUCAACCCGUUCUUCCUCAAGCAUUUGCAACCCCUACUUUUCUUAAUCGUUAAAUUUGGUAACGUAUGUCAAAAUAAAAUAAAAUAAUUUCCA
Osmia bicornis bicornis is the source of this 1416-nucleotide long non-coding RNA. RefSeq lists it as uncharacterized. Lineage: Eukaryota; Metazoa; Arthropoda; Insecta; Hymenoptera; Megachilidae. The record is from RefSeq and is a predicted model, not a curated record. The transcript is spliced from 6 exons.